CCUACGGGAGGCAGCAGUGAGGAAUAUUGGUCAAUGGACGAGAGUCUGAACCAGCCAAGUAGCGUGAAGGAUGACUGCCCUAUGGGUUGUAAACUUCUUUUAUAUGGGAAUAAAAUGUUCCACGUGUGGGAUUCUGUAUGUACCAUAUGAAUAAGGAUCGGCUAACUCCGUGCCAGCAGCCGCGGUAAUACGGAGGAUCCGAGCGUUAUCCGGAUUUAUUGGGUUUAAAGGGUGCGUAGGUGGAUUUUUAAGUCAGUUGUGAAAGUUUGCGGCUCAACCGUAAAAUUGCAGUUGAAACUGGCAGUCUUGAGUACAGUAGAGGUGGGCGGAAUUCGUGGUGUAGCGGUGAAAUGCUUAGAUAUCACGAAGAACUCCGAUUGCGAAGGCAGCUCACUGGACUGCAACUGACACUGAGGCUCGAAAGUGUGGGUAUCAAACAGGAUUAGAUACCCGGGUAGUC
RNAcentral lists this ribosomal RNA (460 nucleotides) under uncultured bacterium. RNAcentral's name for it is "partial 16S ribosomal RNA". It matches the Rfam family "Bacterial small subunit ribosomal RNA", at positions 338 to 795 of the family's 1533-position model. The record is from RNAcentral.